UUCCUUUCAAUCAAAGAACAAGCAGUGUUGUAUGCCAACUCAAAGCUGCUAGAUGCUUUAAUCCGAUUAGCGUCCAUUAUUCCUUGCACUUCAGAAGCUCUCCCACCCAAAACCAAAGCCGCAACAAGGUUUAUUUCCAAGGAAUCAAUCUUGGACUUUUGAAGCUUCUGAUAGACAUCAACACACGCACCCAUUUUCCCCAGACGAAAGAGAAUCUGUGAUUCUAACAGCAUGAUUUCAGAAUUUCUCUCUUGGUCUUUCAAAGACUCCAAAGCUUCAUCCAACUUAUUCUGUCUGUAUAAACAGUAUGCCUUGAAGAAAGUGAAGUCAACAGCAACUGUCUGAGCUGACUGAAUAGUUGAAAGAGCAUCCUCAAUGCGGUCGGCCUUAAUCAAAGCCACGACCUUGCA
This 410-nucleotide unclassified non-coding RNA is filed under the name Hevea brasiliensis (rubber tree). The record is from RNAcentral. Lineage: Eukaryota; Viridiplantae; Streptophyta; Magnoliopsida; Malpighiales; Euphorbiaceae.